This 386-nucleotide ribosomal RNA is filed under the name uncultured bacterium. Its description in RNAcentral is "bacterial SSU rRNA". It matches the Rfam family "Bacterial small subunit ribosomal RNA", at positions 28 to 417 of the family's 1533-position model. The record is from RNAcentral.
GACGAACGCUGGCGGCGUGCUUAACACAUGCAAGUCGAGCGGUAAGGCCCUUUCGGGGGUACACGAGCGGCGAACGGGUGAGUAACACGUGGGUGACCUGCCCUCAGCUCUGGGAUAAGCCCGGGAAACUGGGUCUAAUACCGGAUAUGACUCCAUGACGCAUGUUGUGGGGUGGAAAGCCUUGUGCGGCUGAGGAUGGGCCCGCGGCCUAUCAGCUUGUUGGUGGGGUGAUGGCCACCAAGGCGACGACGGGUAGCCGGCCUGAGAGGGCGACCGGCCACACUGGGACUGAGAUACGGCCCAGACUCCUACGGGAGGCAGCAGUGGGGAAUCUUGCGCAAUGGCGAAAGCCUGACGCAGCGACGCCGCGUGAGGGAUGACGGCCU